Molecule: unclassified non-coding RNA, 892 nt
Filed under: Bombus terrestris (buff-tailed bumblebee)
Lineage: Eukaryota; Metazoa; Arthropoda; Insecta; Hymenoptera; Apidae
Description: misc RNA ENSBTSG00005025113.1
Source: RNAcentral
CUUCGAGAAGUACAAGUUUUGACUGCCUAUGUUUUUUGCCAUUUUUCAGUAACAUGGUAUCUACAUUAUAUAAUUUACUAACUCCCAAUUUUUUUGACAUUUUGGUAAUAGUUGUAUUGAUCGAUGUAUUAAUCUCAUCAUUGCUAUUUUCCAUAAUUGAACAUUCAUUUUCUUUUGAGUCUUGAGAUAAUGGAUUCUGUAUAAGAUCACUUUUUAGGUUUGUUAAACUAGAAAUAUCUGCUUUUAUUGGUAGGCACAAAUUCAUUUCAUUUUUCUUAGAAUUUUUUAGAUUAACCUGAUUAUUUAUAAUAUUAGUCUUCUUAAAUCUAGAAUGUUUCCUUACAAGUACUGGGCUUUUUAAUAAUUUAUCUUCUUGUAUUUGGCACUUAACAGAUGUAUCAAUUAAAACAGCAUUAUUUACAUUUGAAAUACAAUCACAGUUUCUAAAAUUAUUAUCACAAUUAAUAUCUUUGUGUGAAAAUAUUUCUGUAUUUUUUAAUACUUGGUUAUUAGCAGGUAUAACAUCUUUAUUACUAAAAAUGUCUGAUUCAAACAAUUCACACGGAAUCUUAAUGUCAGCAAUGUUCGUAAUGUUUCCACAAUAUUUCUGCAGUUUUAAGUAUUCAUUCCAUAACUCUGUAAAUAUAAGAGUCUGUUGUGUAAAUAUAUAAAUUUAACUACAAAUUAUUUACUUAAAAUUGCAUUCAUGAUAUAAAGUAAUGUACAUAUAUAAUGAGAGUACAUUAUUAUUUUCAUUAUGAAUAUUUUAUUUUUAAAAGAUUUUGUUUUUUAAUUUGCAUACAGAAACUAUAAAGAAUAAUUUUUUGAUCGUAAGCGUAAUUUCGUUGUAAUUAAAAUAAGUAAGCUUUGUUGUUGUAAGUUAAAUAAAUAA